RNAcentral lists this ribosomal RNA (253 nucleotides) under uncultured bacterium. RNAcentral describes it as "partial 16S ribosomal RNA". It matches the Rfam family "Bacterial small subunit ribosomal RNA", at positions 524 to 776 of the family's 1533-position model. The record is from RNAcentral.
UACGAAGGGGGCUAGCGUUGCUCGGAAUCACUGGGCGUAAAGCGCACGUAGGCGGAUUGCUAAGUCAGGGGUGAAAUCCUGGAGCUCAACUCCAGAACUGCCUUUGAUACUGGCGAUCUUGAGUCCGGGAGAGGUGAGUGGAACUGCGAGUGUAGAGGUGAAAUUCGUAGAUAUUCGCAAGAACACCAGUGGCGAAGGCGGCUCACUGGCCCGGUACUGACGCUGAGGUGCGAAAGCUAGGGGAGCAAACGGG